Molecule: ribosomal RNA, 300 nt
Filed under: uncultured Frankiaceae bacterium
Lineage: Bacteria; Bacillati; Actinomycetota; Actinomycetes; Frankiales; Frankiaceae
Description: bacterial SSU rRNA
Rfam family: Bacterial small subunit ribosomal RNA
Source: RNAcentral
CACGUGGGCAACCUGCCCCGAGCUCUGGGAUAACUCCGGGAAACCGGGGCUAAUACCGGAUAUGACUCGAGAAGACAUCCUCUCGAGUGGAAAGUUUUUCGGCUCGGGAUGGGCCCGCGGCCUAUCAGCUAGUUGGUGGGGUAACGGCCUACCAAGGCGACGACGGGUAGCCGGCCUGAGAGGGCGACCGGCCACACUGGGACUGAGACACGGCCCAGACUCCUACGGGAGGCAGCAGUGGGGAAUAUUGGACAAUGGGGGCAACCCUGAUCCAGCGAUGCCGCGUGUGUGAAGAAGGCC